Molecule: long non-coding RNA, 676 nt
Filed under: Physcomitrium patens
Lineage: Eukaryota; Viridiplantae; Streptophyta; Bryopsida; Funariales; Funariaceae
Description: long non-coding RNA (PPAT_LNC002599)
Source: RNAcentral
UAAAAUCGAUAGUUCAUUUAUUAGUUAUUGAGGUUUAAAUCUACUAUAGAAAUUACUUGGAAUUAUCUAGGGUUUGAUUAGGAUAUGUUUAAAAUUUUAUUAGGAUUCAGUUAAGAUUUUUUUAGGUUUGUUUAGGGUUUGGUUAGGAUUUGGUUAGAUUUUUUUUAGGAUUAGAUUAGGAUUUGGUUAGAAUUUAUUUAGGAUUUGAUUAUGAUUUGGUUAAGGUUUAUUUAAGAUUUGAUUAAGAUUUGGUUAGUAUUUAUUAGGAUUUGAUUAGAAUUUGGUUAAGAUUUGUUAGAAUUUGAUUAAGAUUUAGUUAGGAUUGUUCAAGAUUUGAUUAGGAUUUAUUUAGGAUUUAUCUAGGAUUUGUUUAGAAUUUGAUUAGGAUUUAUUUAGUAUUUGGUUAGGAUUUGUUUAGGGUUUGACUAGGAUUUGGUUAAGGUUAGUUUAGGAUUUGUUUAAGAUUUGAUUAUGAUUUAUUAGAGUUUGACUAAGAUUUAUUUAGGAUUUUCUUAGGAUUUGACUAGGAUUUAAUUAAGAUUUCUAUUUUAAUAUUUUAUUAAGAUUUUUUAUUUUAGUAUAUUUUUGAAUUUCUAUGUUAUUUCUUUAUGAUUUCUUUAAAAGAUCUUUAGAAAUACUUUAUAUUUCUUACAUAAUUCUUUUGUAAUUUUGAUUG